RNAcentral lists this ribosomal RNA (406 nucleotides) under uncultured bacterium. Its description in RNAcentral is "partial 16S ribosomal RNA". It matches the Rfam family "Bacterial small subunit ribosomal RNA", at positions 30 to 526 of the family's 1533-position model. The record is from RNAcentral.
AUUGAACGCUGGCGGCAGGCUUAACACAUGCACGUCGAGCGAGCGGCGGACGGGUUAGUAAUGUCUCGGACACUGCCUGAUGGAGGGGGAUCACUAAUGGAAACGGUAGCUCCUACCGCAUACCAUCAGAUGUGCCCAGAGGGGAUUAGCUAGUGGGUGGGGGAAUGGCUCACCUAGGCGACGAUCCCUAGCUGGUCUGAGAGGAUGACCAGCAAAACUGGAACUGAGACACGGUCCAGACUCCUACGGGAGGCAGCAGUGGGGAAUAUUGGACAAUGGGCGAAAGCCUGAUGCAGCCAUGCCGCGUGUGUGAAGAAGGCCUUCGGGUUGUAAAGCACUUUCAGUGAGGAGGCGUUACUCGCAGAAGAAGCACCGGCUAACUCCGUGCCAGCAGCCGCGGUAAUAC